UACGUAGGGGGCAAGCGUUAUCCGGAUUUACUGGGUGUAAAGGGAGCGUAGACGGCGCGGCAAGUCUGAAGUGAAAGGCAGGGGCUUAACCCCUGAACUGCUUUGGAAACUGCCAUGCUAGAGUGCUGGAGAGGUAAGUGGAAUUCCUAGUGUAGCGGUGAAAUGCGUAGAUAUUAGGAGGAACACCAGUGGCGAAGGCGGCUCACUGGACAGUAACUGACGUUGAGGCUCGAAAGCGUGGGGAGCAAACAGG
RNAcentral lists this ribosomal RNA (253 nucleotides) under uncultured bacterium. Its description in RNAcentral is "partial 16S ribosomal RNA". It matches the Rfam family "Bacterial small subunit ribosomal RNA", at positions 524 to 776 of the family's 1533-position model. The record is from RNAcentral.